This 789-nucleotide ribosomal RNA is filed under the name uncultured archaeon. Its description in RNAcentral is "bacterial SSU rRNA". It matches the Rfam family "Archaeal small subunit ribosomal RNA", at positions 85 to 879 of the family's 1478-position model. The record is from RNAcentral.
ACUGCUCAGUAACACGUGGAUAACCUGCCCUGCGGUGGGAAAUAACCCCGGGAAACUGGGGAUAAUGUCCCAUAGGCUACGGAUGCUGGAAUGCUCUGUAGCUCAAAGAUUUAUCGCCCCAGGAUGGGUCUGCGGCCGAUUAGGUAGUUGUUGGGGUAACGGCCCAACAAGCCUUUGAUCGGUACGGGUUGUGGGAGCAAGAGCCCGGAGAUGGAUUCUGAGACACGAAUCCAGGCCCUACGGGGCGCAGCAGGCGCGAAAACUUUACAAUGCGGGAAACCGUGAUAAGGGAACUCCGAGUGUCCGUAAAUGCGGACUGUCCGUAUGUUUAAAAAGCAUGCGAAGAAAGGGCCGGGCAAGACCGGUGCCAGUCGCCGCGGUAAUACCGGCGGCUCGAGUGGUGGCCACUAUUACUGGGCUUAAAGCGUUCGUAGCUGGGUUGUUAAGUCUCUUGGGAAAUCUACCGGCUUAACCGAUAGGCGUCCAAGGGAUACUGGCAAUCUAGGGACCGGGAGAGGUGAGGGGUACUUCAGGGGUAGGAGUGAAAUCCUGUAAUCCUUGGGGGACCACCUGUGGCGUAGGCGCCUCACCAGAACGGCUCCGACAGUGAGGGACGAAAGCUGGGGGAGCAAACCGGAUUAGAUACCCGGGUAGUCCCAGCCGUAAACGAUGCGCGUUAGGUGUAUCGAUGACCACGAGUCAUCGAGGUGCCGAAGGGAAACCGUGAAACGCGCCGCCUGGGAAGUACGGUCGCAAGGCUGAAACUUAAAGGAAUUGGCGGGGGAGCAC